GGGCGCGUACUGGUUUCGACCUGAAAGAUACGCCAGAGGCGGCAUGCCGAGGACGAUGCGUUGGCCUCGUAAAUCAUCGCAUCAAACAAAUAAGCUAACGAAGAAUUAGCCCUCGCGGCCUAAGGCCACGACGUUCGCCAGCAGACACCUGCUAUGCUGGAUGAACGCCAUAGCAGGCAUGGUGGAAGGCGGAGAUUGCGCGCCCAAGCCGAGAAAAUUACAUGCAAACUAAGCAGUGGGAUUCGAGUUCGGGCGCCAUCCCAUGGCCGACAAAAUAUCCCGGACUAAGCAUGUAGUCGCGGCUGGUUUGCCUGUCAGGGACGGGGGUUCAACUCCCCCCGCGUCCACCA
RNAcentral lists this transfer-messenger RNA (350 nucleotides) under Verrucomicrobiia. RNAcentral's name for it is "JABFSR01 sp013140495 Standard tmRNA". It matches the Rfam family "transfer-messenger RNA". Rfam says of the family: Bacterial tmRNA, also known as 10Sa RNA or SsrA, is named for its dual tRNA and mRNA-like properties. Its role is to liberate the mRNA from a stalled ribosome. RNAcentral also lists the same sequence under 1 other name. The record is from RNAcentral. Lineage: Bacteria; Pseudomonadati; Verrucomicrobiota.